GGUGCUGUGAGUUGCAAGGAAAUGUUGAGCUCUUCUUUGGUAUGAGGAGUCUCAGAGAGUCCCCACCCCUGAGCCUUGUCUGAGCUCUGCUGUCUCCAGGAGAGGCACUGUGGCACCCAGCACUUCGCAAUCUUCAUCACGCACAUGAAUCCCCAGAGUAUCCUGUCAAAUGCACGUUCUGUUUCUGCUGGUCUGGAUUGGGGCUCUACCAACUGAGCUUCCAGGAGAUGCCAAAGCUGUGAGUCAGUGGUGGCCCACACUUUGAGUAGAGAGGUUCUGAAGGAACGAAAUGAGGAUUUAAGCAGUCUAGACCUGAAUUAGAAUCCUUGAUCAGCUCCUUGUAAAUGGCAAGGCUUAGGCGAAACACUUUUGUCUUCCAAAACUCCACUUCUUCAUCUGCAGAACAAGUGACCCAGGAUGUCGGAAGAUGCCUCUGCCCAUCUCGGCUUCCAGAGAGAUCUACCUUGCCCAUAUGACAAGCGUCAGAGAUGUGUGAGAGAGGAAUGCUAAAUCCAGACCAUGUUCAAGCAGAGAGCAUGACGGGAGAUUGGGGUGGCCCCGAGCUAAGGGAAGUUGAUAUAAUGGUGGCCGUGAAGGCAUCUUAACCAAAUAGAACCUUUUAAACCAGG
Molecule: non-coding RNA, 629 nt
Organism: Ictidomys tridecemlineatus (thirteen-lined ground squirrel)
Lineage: Eukaryota; Metazoa; Chordata; Mammalia; Rodentia; Sciuridae
Source: RefSeq, a predicted model, not a curated record